UACGAAGGGGGCUAGCGUUGUUCGGAUUUACUGGGCGUAAAGCGCGUGUAGGCGGCUUUGCAAGUCGGAUGUGAAAGCCCACGGCUCAACCGUGGAAGUGCAUCCGAAACUGCAUGGCUGGAGUCUCGGAGAGGAAGGUGGAAUGCUUGGGUGUAGAGGUGAAAAUUCGUAGAUAUCAAGCAGAACACCUGCGGCGAAGGCGGCCUUCUGGACGAUGACUGACGUGAGACGCGAAAAGCGUGGGGGA
RNAcentral lists this ribosomal RNA (247 nucleotides) under uncultured bacterium. Its description in RNAcentral is "partial 16S ribosomal RNA". It matches the Rfam family "Bacterial small subunit ribosomal RNA", at positions 524 to 768 of the family's 1533-position model. The record is from RNAcentral.